Molecule: unclassified non-coding RNA, 179 nt
Filed under: Brucella sp. 191011898
Lineage: Bacteria; Pseudomonadati; Pseudomonadota; Alphaproteobacteria; Hyphomicrobiales; Brucellaceae
Description: BASRCI153
Source: RNAcentral
GCAUUUCCAGCAGAAAUGUGAAACGCCUACGCGGGGAAAUCAGUCCACUGGACUGAUUUCUGAUCCCGCUUCGAUACGUAGGACGAUGCGACAAAACAACGAGUUAGGGCGGUUCCAACGAUUCUGUUAAAACAGGAACCGCUCUGGAGGCGAAGAAGCAGGAUUGAGAAUCCGCGGGG